CAAACUGGGGCUAAUAAUGAAAGAUCCCUCCCAUUUCUCACAGGAAAGUUACGAGGACUUCAAUUCAAAAUGAGGUGAGGGAAAAGUUACAAAUAUACCUUUGUGAAGGUGACAUAUAUGAAUGUCACUCAGACACACACUGAGACACACAUCCAUGGAGAUACAGACAGACAGAGACACACACGCGCACUCACAUGUGGUCAGACAGACACAUGGAUAGACACACACUGAGACACUCAGUCAGACAGACACUGAGACACUUGGUCAGACAGACACAGACACUCGGUCAGACAGACACAGACAUUCGGUCAGGCAGACACAAACAAUCAGAGAGACACACACUGAGACAUUCGGUCAGACAGACACUCUGUCAGACACACGGUCAGACAGACACUCAGAUACUCGGUCAGACACUGAGACGAUCAGAGAGACACACACUGAGACACUCGGUCAGACAGACACUGAGACACUCGAACAAACAGACACAGACACUUGGUCAGACAGACACUGAGACAAUCAGAGAGACACACACUGAGACACUCGGUCAGACAGACAGACACAGAGACACUCGGUCAGACAGACAGACAGACAGACAGACACAGACACUCAGUCAGACAGACACAGACACUUGGUCAGACAGACACAGAGACACUCAGUCAGACAGACACGCACAGAGGCAGGCAGAAAGACACAUUCACAUUGAGAAGUUUUCAGACACUCAUCUACGGAGAUACAUACAGACUGACACACAGAGACACAUGGUCAGACAAACAAGCACCCAGACAGACUCACUCGAACAGACUUCGGCAGAAUGUGGAUUCAGUUCACUGGAUGAAGUGAACAACAGCCGUCGCCUCCAGCGCAUCAACAGUGUAAAAUCUUCACUAUAGGAGAGGCUCCAUCGCUUCUGCAGAGGAAGAGAGGGAUCCUUUACUCCCAGUUGAAGGAAGGUCAUGAUGAAAUGGCAGAGCAGACUCGAUGGACCAAAUGGCCGACUUUUGCUCCUUUGUCUUAUGGUCUUAUGGAAGGUCAGCAGUGCCCCGGUGAGUAAAGAAAAUGCUUCAAAGACAGCAUCAAAAUCAACCUGAAGAACUUCAACAUUGCAUUCGAAAACUAGGAAGAGAUUGCACUUGCUGGGUACACCUGGAGGGAAUCUGUUCAAAGGGAGCUGCGCUACAUGAGAACCACCUCCACUGUGCCACAGACGCCAUGUGGCAGCUGUGGAAAGAGAGACCAAGUAACCUGAAGACUGAACCACAGACACCGCUUGCUUUUGCCCACACUGCACCAGAGUAUGUGGAUCCUCGAUAGGCCUCUACAGCCAGCUGAGGACCCACCGAUAGACAACCCCCAGGAGAAUGUCAUGGUAUUGGGUAAUAAGCCUAGCCAGGUGAUUGACCUUUCAUUGAGAGAACAGUUAGGGAGCAGCAAUCAUAACUCCUUAAUUUUUAAGAUUGCUAUAGAUGUGUAUGGACCUUAUGGGGGAGUAUUAAAUUGGAGUAGGGAAAAUUACGAGAAUAUUAGGCAGGAUCUUGGAAGAGUUCAUUGGGAGCAGCUGUUUUUGGGCAAGUCCACAUCUAACAUGUUGGGGAUGCUUAAAAACCAAUUGCGCAGAAUACAGGACAGGCAUGUUCCAGUAAGCAUCAAGGACGAGGAUGACAAAGUAAGGGGACCUUGCACGCCGGGGGAGAUGGUGAAUUUAUUCAAGGAAAAGGAAGCACAUUGUACGUAAGGUUAAGGAUGCUAAGAACAAACUGAGCCCUUGAGGACGUUAAAGAAUCCAGAAAAUAACUCAAGAAAGGGAUUAGGAAAGCCAAGAGGAGCCAAGAAAAGUCUUUGGCAAUUCCUGCCUCAACCACUUCCUCUUGCAGCUCAUUUCAUAUAUGCACCACCCACUGUGAGUAAAAGUUCUUCUCAGGUUCCUGUUAAAUCUUUCCCCUCUCACCUUGAUUCCCCAACCCCAGGGCAAAGACUAUGUGCAUUUACCCUAAGUACGCUUGUCACGAUUUUAGAAACUUCUCACAUUCUCCAGCAGCUCACUGUGGACCUGGCAAAGGGCCGCCAUCAUGGGAAGGCCAGUUUUCCAGCCGGCAUUUCGGGAGGAAGCUUAGGGACAGAGGCAAAAGCCAGGAUAUCCGGCAGUCCUUCUCAGAGCUUCACGGACAAAUGUGCUCAGUCGUUCAGAUGUGGAGACUGGAGCAGAAUGAGGGAAUGUGGCAACCUUCCUUCACUAUUGGAUUUAGCGAACCAGUUUUUUUUAGAGAUACAGCAAUGGAAACAGGCCUUAAGGUUUGUUAUCACUGGGGGAGGUAGUGAGAAUUGUGACUCAAAUAGCCUCUGACUACCAAGUCCAGCUCCUGGCCUGGUGGAACCGUUCUACUGACAGGAGAAGGGGCAAGGGCAGUUCUUUUUCGUUCCUCUCCACGCCUUGUGUCGCAUCAGGUGGCAAACUUGCCAUUUCUUCAGUAUAUGUCUGCUUUUUACGAGGCCGAGUUGCCAGCUCGACACUCAAACCAGCACGGAUGGAAAGCGUGCAAGGAGCUGGCCGGAUUCUAACCCGGGACCACUCGCCUCGAAGUCCGGUGCUCAACUUCACUUGCCCCAUCAUGGAAAUGCCCCACAACCAAUGGACUUGCUUUCAAGGACUCUUCUUCUCAUGUUCUUUAUAUUUAUUGAUUAUUUUUUUUAUUAUUAUUCCUUCUAUUUGUACUUGCACCAUUUAUUGUCUUCUGCAAUCUGGUUGAACACCCUCGUUGGGCGUUUUCAUUGAUUCUGUUAUGGUUACUAUGCUAUAGAAUUAUUGAGUAUGCCCGCAAGAAAAUAAAUCCCAGAGUUGUAUAUGGUUACAUAUAUGUACUUUGAUACUUCUAUUUUUCCCCAGGGCUGAAAUAGCUAACACGAGAGGGCACAGUUUUAAGGUGCUUGGAAGUAAGUACAGAGGAGAUGUCAGGGGUAAGUUUUUUCACUGGGAGAGUGAGUGUGUGGAAUGGGCUGCUAGCGACGGUGGUGGAGGCAGAUACAAUGGGGUCUUUUAAGACACUCCUGGACAGGUACAUGGAGCUCAGAAAAAUAGAGGGUUAUGGGUAACCCUAGGUAAUUUCUCAGGUAAGGACAUGUUUGGCACAGCUUUGUGGGCCGAAGGACCUGCAUUGUGCUGUAGGUUUUCUAUGUUUCUAUGAUAAAAUUUACUUCGAACGUGCUAAUGUGUUUCUAGAUGUGGAUGAGGCAAUAUAUGAGCAAUUGAUACAGUGGGAAAGGAGAGGGAAGGGGAGCUGAGGUCAUAAAAGAGAUGAUAGAGACCACAGGAAGGAGGGUAGAGAUGGGAAAUUUGAGGGAGGAAAGAGGGACGUACUAAAGGGGAGCAGACAGGAAAGGGAAGAAACACAGGAAGAAAGGAAAUAGGUGAGAGAGAGAAUGAGAAGAGAGAAAGUGAUGGCAUAGGAUGGAGAGGAAAGAAAGAGAUUCAAAGAGCAGUGAGCAGAAAGGAGCGCAAAGAGAAACAGAAACAAAAGUAGAGAGUGGAAAAAGAGAGGGGAUAGAAAGAAAGCAAAUCUAAUAGGAGACAGGGACAGAAAAAAAGAAGGAUGGAGAAUUAGAUGCUGUAGAUGGAGAGAGGGAGGUAGAUGGAUAGAUAUAUAAAGAGAGGGAGAGAGAGAAAGAUGGAGAGAGAGAGAGAGAGAACCAGAGAUCAGAACUGAUACUCAUCAGAUUACACGACUCAAAUCUCUGACAUGAAAGUAUUUCAAAGUAUGGAAUAAAUUAUUAAGAAUUUUUCUUUCAGCACGACAUGAAACCCUCUGAUUUUACCUUUUUUUAACAGGCAGUUAUGUAAAGAAUUUUUUAAGUCUUUGUGCGGCUAAAUUCACAGUCAGUGGGAGGACCUACUGAGAGUGGUGUCACGAUGAAUGACCUCAGCUGCAAUGAAACAGAAGGAGAAAUCCUGAUGAGCCUGCUGGGGGUUGGAGGGGUGGGGGCAAGGUUUUGAGAACCGCUCAACUGUGCACAACACUCUCCAUGGGCCCAUAUAUAACCUCUGUUUACAGGGACUGUGUGUGAUACCUCCCUGUUCCAUUGGACCAUUUGUUGGUAGUACAAUAGGGAGAUGUUUUAAAUUCCACUAAGUUUCCUGGGUGACGUAGUAUUUUGAAAACAAGCACAGAAAUUGCCUUGCUGAAAGCUGUGCAUCAGUUGGUUUAAGUGCCUGACCCUUAUUUAUGAGCGCAGUGUUACUAUUGAUAGCAGCACGUGAGUGUGACAGACUUUCCAGUA
Long non-coding RNA from Hypanus sabinus (Atlantic stingray), 4269 nucleotides. RefSeq lists it as uncharacterized. The transcript has 3 exons. The record is from RefSeq and is a predicted model, not a curated record. Lineage: Eukaryota; Metazoa; Chordata; Chondrichthyes; Myliobatiformes; Dasyatidae.